ACUCCUGUCAUCAUUCUGUGGUAGGUGUGAAGGAUGACAAGUCACCGGGUGGUGUUGAUCCUGACCUCCCACGCCUGCCCAGUCCCCCUCCUCCCAAACCAACACAGCCUCCCAUUUCUGACCCCUCGUUACACGAGCGCUGUGAGGGAGGCUUUGAUGCAGUGGCAAACAUCAGGGGAGAAGUCUUCUUUUUUAGGGGUGCACACUUCUGGAGAAUUACGC
Long non-coding RNA from Monopterus albus (swamp eel), 222 nucleotides. RefSeq lists it as uncharacterized. Lineage: Eukaryota; Metazoa; Chordata; Actinopteri; Synbranchiformes; Synbranchidae. The record is from RefSeq and is a predicted model, not a curated record. The transcript is spliced from 3 exons.